GGAGGGAUCGCAUAGUGGUCUAGUGCGGUUGCUUGGAGAGCAACUAACCCUGAAAGGGGUUCGCGAGUUCGAAUCUCGCUCCCUCCG
This 87-nucleotide transfer RNA is filed under the name Candidatus Terrybacteria bacterium RIFCSPHIGHO2_01_FULL_43_35. Its description in RNAcentral is "tRNA-Ser". It matches the Rfam family "tRNA". Rfam says of the family: Transfer RNA (tRNA) molecules are approximately 80 nucleotides in length. Their secondary structure includes four short double-helical elements and three loops (D, anti-codon, and T loops). Lineage: Bacteria; Candidatus Terryibacteriota. RNAcentral also lists the same sequence under 2 other names. The record is from RNAcentral.